RNAcentral lists this ribosomal RNA (354 nucleotides) under uncultured bacterium. RNAcentral describes it as "bacterial SSU rRNA". It matches the Rfam family "Bacterial small subunit ribosomal RNA", at positions 335 to 678 of the family's 1533-position model. The record is from RNAcentral.
ACUCCUACGGGAGGCAGCAGUGGGGAAUAUUGCACAAUGGGGGAAACCCUGAUGCAGCCAUGCCGCGUGUGUGAAGAAGGCCUUCGGUUGUAAAGCACUUUCUAGUAGGGAGGAAGGUAGUGUAGUUAACACCUGCAUUAUUUGUACGUUACCUACAGAAGAAGCACCGGCUAACUCCGUCGCCAGCAGCCGCGGUAAGUACGGAGGGUGCGAGCGUUAAUCGGAAUUACGUGGGCGUAAAGCGCAUGCAGGCGGCCUGUAAGUCAGAUGUGAAAGCCCGGGGUCUUAACCUCGGAAUUGCAUUUGAAACUGGCAGGCUAGAGUCUUGUAGAGGGGUUAGAAUUUCAGGUGUAG